CCUACGGGUGGCAGCAGUGGGGAAUAUUGCACAAUGGGGGAAACCCUGAUGCAGCGAAGCCGCGUGAGUGAAGAAGUAAUUCGUGAUGUUAAGCUCUAUCAACAGGGAAGAAAAUUACGGUACCUAAGUAAGAAUCUCCGGCUAACUACGUCCCAGCAGCCGCGGUAAUACGUAGGGGGCAAGCGUGAUCCGGAUUUACUGGGUGUAAAGGGAGCGUAGAUGGACGUGCAAGUGUGGAGUGAAAGUUGGCGGCUCAACCGCCGGAUUGCAGUUGAAACUGUACGGCUGGAGUACAGGAGAGGUAAGUGGAAUUCGUAGUGUAGCGGUGAAAUGCGUAGAUAUUACGAGGAACUCCAGUGGCGAAGGCGGCUUACUGGACUGUAACUGACGUUGAGGCUCGAAAGUGUGGGGAGCAAACAGGAUUAGAUACCCUUGUAGUC
RNAcentral lists this ribosomal RNA (440 nucleotides) under uncultured bacterium. RNAcentral describes it as "partial 16S ribosomal RNA". It matches the Rfam family "Bacterial small subunit ribosomal RNA", at positions 338 to 795 of the family's 1533-position model. The record is from RNAcentral.